UGUUCCUGUCGCGACUGGCGUUGAGAUGGGCAACCAUCGGGGAGCGGCAAUCUCCACCUCAGUGGGCCGUACGCCUGGGCCCACCGG
This 87-nucleotide non-coding RNA is filed under the name Leifsonia sp. Its description in RNAcentral is "ZTP sequence". It matches the Rfam family "ZMP/ZTP riboswitch aptamer (pfl RNA motif)". Rfam says of the family: Previously known as pfl RNA. ZMP is also known as AICAR. The record is from RNAcentral. Lineage: Bacteria; Bacillati; Actinomycetota; Actinomycetes; Micrococcales; Microbacteriaceae.